Molecule: microRNA precursor, 103 nt
Filed under: Vitis vinifera (wine grape)
Lineage: Eukaryota; Viridiplantae; Streptophyta; Magnoliopsida; Vitales; Vitaceae
Description: miR162 stem-loop (vvi-MIR162)
Gene: vvi-MIR162
Rfam family: MIR162_1 microRNA precursor family
Source: miRBase by way of RNAcentral
UGAAGUCACUGGAUGCAGCGGUUCAUCGAUCUCUUCCUGAAAUUGUUGUGAAAAAAGCAGAUCAAGAAUCGGUCGAUAAACCUCUGCAUCCAGCGUUCACUCC